This 441-nucleotide ribosomal RNA is filed under the name uncultured bacterium. RNAcentral describes it as "partial 16S ribosomal RNA". It matches the Rfam family "Bacterial small subunit ribosomal RNA", at positions 338 to 795 of the family's 1533-position model. The record is from RNAcentral.
CCUACGGGAGGCAGCAGUGGGGGAUAUUGCACAAUGGGGGGAACCCUGAUGCAGCGACGCCGCGUGGGUGAAGGAGUGCUUCGGCAUGUAAAGCCCUAUCGGCAGGGAAGAAGCAAGACGGUACCUGAAUAAGAAGCCCCGGCUAACGACGUGCCAGCCGCCGCGGUAAUACGUAGGGGGCGAGCGUUAUCCGGAUUCACUGGGGGGAACGGGAGCGUAGACGGCCAUGCAAGCCAGGGGUGAAAGCCCGGGGCCCAACCCCGGGACUGCCCUUGGAACUGCAUGGCUGGAGGGCGGGAGGGGCAGGCGGAAUUCCUGGUGUAGCGGUGAAAUGCGUAGAUAUCAGGAGGAACCCCGGCGGCGAAGGCGGCCUGCUGGACCGCGACUGACGUUGAGGCUCGAAAGCGUGGGGAGCGAACAGGAUUAGAUACCCCUGUAGUC